Styela clava is the source of this 835-nucleotide long non-coding RNA. RefSeq lists it as uncharacterized. The record is from RefSeq and is a predicted model, not a curated record. NCBI's taxonomy places the organism in Eukaryota, Metazoa, Chordata, Ascidiacea, Stolidobranchia, Styelidae.
UAAAAUAACCUAACUUAUUAUAUUAUUCAGAAUUUAGAUUUUAGAUUGAAAACUUUCAUAUUUAACUUAUCACCAUCAAAGGAAGUGGUAUACUUUGUAGUUAGGCCUCAGCGAAAAAAUUCAGAAGUCAAAAAACAACAUGAAGUUUAUGAAUACAAUUAUGCUGAUUGCAGUUAUCUUCUUGGUCGGCUCCGAAAUUACGGUUCAGCGGUGCGAUGCCAUUUGCAGUCAUUACCGAUGUCCAAAGAAUGAGAUUGCGGAAAAUUACUCGGAUUUGCUUCGUCGGAUGUUGGAUAUAAAGAAAAGAGUCGACGAGGAACAACAAUAUGAGAAUUACUUUGAUUAGUAAUGACUACUCUUUGCAAUACUAAAAAUGACGUAAAAUUACCGUGAAUUGGCUGAAAUUGAAACUUCUGAUUUUACAUAUUUUUCUAUUUGAGAUUCACUUGAUUUGCAAUGUUUUUAUGACCAAUGAAUUUCUUCACAAUUUCAUUUGCUAUUGUUACAGGCUUGUGUAUUUUUGAAUUCCAUCGACAUGUCAUUCUUUUGUUUGUUUCGACAUGAAAACUUAAUCUCCAAGGAUAAAUAUAUAAUCAAGUUUCCGAUUUUUUAUUAAUUUUAUUUUUGCUAAGUGUACGAAAUUGACUUCAAAAAUAUUGAUUACAGUUCGAAAAACUACAAAUUUAGUAUGAAAAAUAUGUACAAACUAAAACUCACUUCAUUUUAGGUUUGUAUUUGACACUAAAAUUUAUUGAAAAAUAUUUUGUGCCUGUUUUGUUUAAAGUAUCGUAAUUGUUGAGUAAACGUUCAAGGAAAUUAAAUUCAGUACACAUUU